Molecule: ribosomal RNA, 1455 nt
Filed under: Triticum aestivum (bread wheat)
Lineage: Eukaryota; Viridiplantae; Streptophyta; Magnoliopsida; Poales; Poaceae
Description: partial small subunit ribosomal RNA
Source: RNAcentral
AUGGGGGAUCUUUGUGAGCUUGAGAUACAGGACUGUCCAGAAUUCUUGUCCGUGAUUCCCACCUCCUGGAUUGAGAGUUUGCGCCGCGUCACGAUUGAAUGUGUCAAGCUACUAAAGAGGUUUGCAUACUCAAAAUCAUCAAAUGGAGCACACUUGGAAAUCAUUGGAUGGGGUGAUCUGCAAAGCUUAGACCAAGUGUUAGUUUUUGAUAAAGAAACAGGUCUUGAGAAGCUGACACUCGAGAGAUGCCCACCUUUGGAGUUGAAGCACCUUCUGAUGCUAACCUCGCUGAAGACACUGAUUGUAAGGCAUUCAGAUGGUCUGGCUGGUCUGGCUGGACCACUAGGAGGUCUGGGUGAUGUGGAAUGGCAGCUCCCUGUUGAGCACAUCGAGAUCUGCCACUUAAAUGGUAAUAGUUGGAAUGAAUUGACAGAGCUCUUCCCACACCUCCCAAAGCUCUCCAAAUUGGAGAUACGGGAUUGUAAAAACAUAAAACAGCUGGUAGUGGGGGUGGAUCUGCGACAAACAGCAUCAGAGAUGGGGGGAGGUGAAAUAACAGCAGCAACAGAGGAAGAGGACGAUGGAGUGCUGCUCUUCCCAGCUCAUCUCUGUGACUCACUACAGAAAUUGAAGUUCCUUUUCUGCCCAGAGCUGGUCCUGGUGAACCCGCCAACGCUUGUUCCUGGAGGAGGAUGGCUCCAAGCCUUGCGAUCCCUCCAGAGAUUAAGCAUAAAGUAUUGCCCAAAGUUUCUAUCCGCCUUCUCGUUUUCCAGUCAAAUCUUCCCUUCCUCCCUGCAAUUCCUGGAGCUUACGAAAUUAGAAGGGAUGGGGACACUAGAGCCUCUCUCAAACCUUUCUUCUCUUACCAGAUUAGUAUUGGAAUUUUGUGGAAAGGAUCUCAAAUGUCAGGGAUUGCAGUCUCUCCUUACCACCGGGGGCCAGCUAAACGAAUUGGAAGUCAGGGGCAGCCAUAUAUUCUUUGCUAAUUGGGAUCCAAAUCCCAGACGGGCUUUGGAGGAUGUUGAAGGAGGAGAAGAGCAGCCAACACAGCUUGUUUCAUCCACACUGCGGAAGCUUUGCACAGAUGACACAGCAGGGCUCCUUGCUGCACCAAUCUGCAGCUUCCUUUCUUCCUCUCUCACCAAGCUGAAACUUCAUGGGUAUGGGCAUGAAGGGAUGGAGCGCUUCAGCAAGGAGCAAGAGGAUGCCCUUCAGCUCCUCUCCUCCCUCCAGAAACUUGAGUUUAGGCAUUUCCGCCAUCUUCAGCAAAUCCCUGCAGGGCUAUGCAACCUUACCAGCCUCAAGGUAUUAUCAAUCAACCACUGUCCUGCCGUCUCGUCAUUGCCCAGCCUCCCCAAAUCACUGGAAAAGCUAGAUGUCUACGACUGCAGCGAGGUGCUAAAACGGCAGUGCAGGUGGAUGUUGGGAACCAUCCCCAAAAUCAUAAGAGGAUGA